UCAUUCACAGCUCAGUCAAUAAGAGCAUGAGACUCUUAAUCUCAGGGUUGUGGGUUCGAGCCCCCCGUUGGGUGAA
Molecule: non-coding RNA, 76 nt
Organism: Podarcis lilfordi (Lilford's wall lizard)
Lineage: Eukaryota; Metazoa; Chordata; Lepidosauria; Squamata; Lacertidae
Source: the annotation of a GenBank genome assembly